This is a long non-coding RNA of Plutella xylostella (diamondback moth), 1457 nucleotides long. RefSeq lists it as uncharacterized. NCBI's taxonomy places the organism in Eukaryota, Metazoa, Arthropoda, Insecta, Lepidoptera, Plutellidae. The record is from RefSeq and is a predicted model, not a curated record.
UCAGACAGUACUCGAAAUAUAAGAGGCCUAUUUGUGCGUCACACACAAUUUGAUCAAGACGUGCGUGCCACCGCCCGCUUCACCGCUGGCGAUGGGGUCGUGCCCGCGGUCUUAGUUCGAUUAAAAAAUAUCUAAGUUCAUAUCCUAUUCUCUAUAUUGUCUGUGUCUCAUAUAUCCCACCACUAGUCACUAGUAUCCUAUCCUUCCUUUCUCUUUCUCUGCGCGCGCAGAUUUGGAUUCGAGCUGCUGUGAUUGAGAAAAGAAAAUGAAAAUAUUUUUGUAAAGGAUUUGAGUGGCUUGAAUUACUGUCCAAGGCUCUUAUAUUAUCCGUCUUCCGCCUCUUGAAAUGCACUAAGGCUGUGAGUGGUAUAAAGUUGGUUCCUGAGUAUUAAUUGAUUUGCACCGUGCAAUAGGACCGUCAAUUUAAGUAAAAAAGACGUAAAUAUUGAACUCUCAACUGGUUUCUAAUAGCAGCAAAAUUGGUGGUAAACGAGUAUCUUUGGCAUGAGAUAAACCUGUUAAAUGGAUAUUCUGCUACUGCUGACUUUUGGAGUAUUGUUGGCGAUGGUCAUAUUUAGCUGUCUAGCGUGUGCCUGGAUGAAGUUCAGUGACUACAAAAUGAAGCACUACAUCAUACAGUUGGCAAAUACUAAAGGAGUUGAGGUGGAUCUUGAGAAAAUUGACAAGAACCGGAAACAGUCUCCGCUCUCCAAUGAAAACUGUGCAAUAUUCGUACCGGAUGUGGGCAUUAUAAUUUAGUUCUGUGAGUAUACCAUUAUAGGUUCUCUUUGCUUCUUCUUAUGGGAAGGAAUGGAUAUGACUAGUGGGUUUCCACCGGUCUCCUUUGAAUUGUAGAAGGCAUUCGUGGCAGUACCUGUCAUAUAAUAUGACAAGACAGGUAGAUGGCAGAUGGUAUUAAACAAAAAUAUGAAAUAAACUAUGUGAAUCCUUUCUUAUGGUUAUUUAACUAUACAUAUUUUUUUAGUAUUACAUGCAAUAUACAAAAAUGCAAUACAAGUACCUAACUAGUACCUAAACGGUUUGGGAUUCAUUUGAGCUCAUGUAAGAUAUUUUGUCAAGAGUAUUGAAGUUAUUUCCAUUUAAUUACAAUUACCUACCUACUUACAUAUUUUUUGUAAAAGUUAUACUUACAUGUACCUAACUAUUAAGUAGGUAUCUAUUAUUUUUGUUUUGAUGAUUGCAUUUACAAUGACUAUGGGAAGUUAAAUUUAUCCCAAUAAGACUGGAUUUUUAUUAUACCAAAUUGUUAAACUGGUACUUAUUAUACCUGAGUAUAUCUAACUUAUGUAUAAAAUGUCAAUGUCAAUUCUUGCAAAAAAACAAUAGACUAAUUAAUUAUUUUACGUUCAGUAUACUUGAGAAGGUAUAUCUAUGAUUACUAUUUGAUAGCCAUUUCUAUCUAGCAUUGUCGAUUUCUGUUGUAACAAAUAUUUGAA